AUUGAACGCUGGCGGCAGGCCUAACACAUGCAACUCGAACGGUAACAGGAAGAAGCUUGCUUCUUUGCUGACGAGUGGCGGACGGGUGAGUAAUGUCUGGGAAACUGCCUGAUGGAGGGGGAUAACUACUGGAAACGGUAGCUAAUACCGCAUAACGUCGCAAGACCAAAGAGGGGGACCUUCGGGCCUCUUGCCAUCGGAUGUGCCCAGAUGGGAUUAGCUAGUAGGUGGGGUAACGGCUCACCUAGGCGACGAUCCCUAUCUGGUCUGAGAGGAUGACCAGCCACACUGGAACUGAGACACGGUCCAGACUCCUACGGGAGGCAGCAGUGGGGAAUAUUGCACAAUGGGCGCAAGCCUGAUGCAGCCAUGCCGCGUGUAUGAAGAAGGCCUUCGGGUUGUAAAGUACUUUCAGCGGGGAGGAAGGGAGUAAAGUUAAUACCUUUGCUCAUUGACGUUACCCGCAGAAGAAGCACCGGCUAACUCCGUG
Molecule: ribosomal RNA, 490 nt
Filed under: uncultured bacterium
Lineage: Bacteria
Description: partial 16S ribosomal RNA
Rfam family: Bacterial small subunit ribosomal RNA
Source: RNAcentral